AUUGAACGCUGGCGGCAUGCCUUACACAUGCAAGUCGAACGGCAGCACGGGAGCAAUCCUGGUGGCGAGUGGCGAACGGGUGAGUAAUAUAUCGGAACGUGCCCAGUCGUGGGGAUAACGUAGCGAAAGCUACGCUAAUACCGCAUACGAUCUAUGGAUGAAAGCGGGGGGAUCGCAAGACCUCGCGCGAUUGGAGCGGCCGAUAUCAGAUUAGGUAGUUGGUGAGGUAAAGGCUCACCAAGCCGACGAUCUGUAGCUGGUCUGAGAGGACGACCAGCCACACUGGGACUGAGACACGGCCCAGACUCCUACGGGAGGCAGCAGUGGGGAAUUUUGGGAC
This 340-nucleotide ribosomal RNA is filed under the name uncultured bacterium. RNAcentral's name for it is "bacterial SSU rRNA". It matches the Rfam family "Bacterial small subunit ribosomal RNA", at positions 30 to 370 of the family's 1533-position model. The record is from RNAcentral.